CAACUCGGCAAAUUGCCCCCGUAACUUAGGGAGAAGGGGGGCCCGUACUGGUGAACCAACUUGCUUGGGGAGCUGGUGUGGGUCGCAGAGAGCAGGGGGAAGCGACUGUUUACUAAAAACACAGGUCCAUGCGAAGUCGUAAGACGCUGUAUAUGGACUGACGCCUGCCCGGUGCUGGAACGUUAAAAGGACCGGUUAGUCCCGCAAGGGGCGAAGCUGAGAAUUGAAGCGCCAGUAAACGGCGGUGGUAACUAUAACCAUCCUAAGGUAGCGAAAUUCCUUGUCGGGUAAGUUCCGACCUGCACGAAUGGCGUAACGACUUCCCCACUGUCUCAACCACAGGCCCGGCGAAAUUGCAGUACGAGUAAAGAUGCUCGUUACGCGCGGCAGGACGGAAAGACCCCGGGACCUUCACUAUAGCUUGACAUUGAUAUUCGAUACUGCUUGUGUAGGAUAGGUGGGAGCCUAUGAAGCCGGCACGCCAGUGCUGGUGGAGGCAAUCUUGAAAUACCACUCUGGUCGUACUGGGUAUCUAACCACAGCCCCUGAUCGGGGUUUGGGACAGUGUCUGGUGGGUAGUUUAACUGGGGCGGUUGCCUCCCAAAAUGUAACGGAGGCGCCCAAAGGUUCCCUCAGCCUGGUUGGCAAUCAGGUGUUGAACGUAAGUGCAUAAGGGAGCUUGACUGUGAGACUGACAGGUCGAGCAGGGACGAAAGUCGGGACUAGUGAUCCGGCACCGGCAUGUGGAAGCGGUGUCGCUCAACGGAUAAAAGGUACCCCGGGGAUAACAGGCUGAUCUUCCCCAAGAGUCCAUAUCGACGGGAUGGUUUGGCACCUCGAUGUCGGCUCGUCGCAUCCUGGGGCUGGAGUAGGUCCCAAGGGUUGGGCUGUUCGCCCAUUAAAGCGGUACGCGAGCUGGGUUUAGAACGUCGUGAGACAGUUCGGUCCCUAUCCGCCGCGCGCGUAGGAAACCUGAGAAGGGCUGUCCCUAGUACGAGAGGACCGGGACGGACGAACCUCUAGUGUGCCAGUUGUCCCGCCAGGGGCACGGCUGGUUAGCCACGUUCGGAAGGGAUAACCGCUGAAAGCAUCUAAGCGGGAAGCCCGCUUCAAGACCAAGUUUCCCACCCACAGCAAUGUGGGGUAAGGCCCCCGCCCAGACCAGCGGGUAGAUAGGCCAGAAAUGUAAGCCCAGCAAUGGGUUCAGUUGACUGGUACUAAUCGGCCGAGGACUUCUACAU
This 1241-nucleotide ribosomal RNA is filed under the name metagenome. RNAcentral describes it as "bacterial LSU rRNA". It matches the Rfam family "Bacterial large subunit ribosomal RNA", at positions 1710 to 2925 of the family's 2925-position model. The record is from RNAcentral.